GAGUGACAGGCAUGAGCAGAGCACGAACUUGCGAGAGAUGAUGAAGGGGCAAGGAAGGAGGACGAGAGAGGAGAGGGCAUUACAGUAGAAGGCCAAGGUGUACUUGUUGAGCCCGUCGGACAUGGCCAUUUUCGCCACCACCAUGCUGCUCGCUUGAACCAGAACCACCAUUAUCAUCCCCACGAACGGCAGCGAAGCCCCGGCCCUCCCCUCCAUCUCCA
Molecule: long non-coding RNA, 221 nt
Filed under: Eucalyptus grandis
Lineage: Eukaryota; Viridiplantae; Streptophyta; Magnoliopsida; Myrtales; Myrtaceae
Description: long non-coding RNA (EGRA_LNC002561)
Source: RNAcentral